GUAAAUUAGUGUGGGAAUGAAUGUCGAGUGGAAUGGAACGUGACAGAAUAUGAGGGAGGCGUGAGCGAGUGAGCGAAGGAGUGAGAGAGAGGGACUGAAUGAACGGUGUUAGAGGCAACCACGCGGUACUGAGUGUAACGAACGAGCCAAAGUUGUUGAAAUAAAAGUUGUAAUAAGUGUUUAAAACGGGAUUUUAUUUCAAAGUCAUCGAUCCCCAGCACGAAGAGAGCUACAGAUUUUGGGGGCUCGUCCGGGAUCGAUCAACGACGAAUUUCCACGAAGUUUUCUACGACGCACCGGCCGGCGCGACGCGGCGGCCAUUAAAUUUGAAUUACGAAGUUACGGAGCACGAUGGAAUCGAAAUCAACGACGAUUACGACUGCAGCGGCGCCGGUGGCGUUCGGGCUCACAGAGGGGCUCAUCGAGAAGUUCAGCGGAGACGACAAAUCUUACUCGUCGAGUAAGUGGGCUCAAGACAUCGAGGAUAACGCUGAGAUAUUUCAGUGGACGCCGCAACAAACUUUGAUCGUAGCUCGCCGGUCACUCACCGGGACGGCUGAGCUAUGGUUAAAAUCCGAGAAGGCAUUCAAAACCUACGGCGAUCUCAAGGCUGCGCUUGUGAAGGAAUUUCCAGACACCGCGAACGUCAAGGAAAUGCACGAGCUAAUGGCGGCACGCAAGAAAUUAAAAGGCGAGACGUAUUAUCAGUACAUGUUGCAUAUGAAAGAGCUAGCGCGGCGUGCGAAAUUUCCGACUACAUCGCGAUACAGUACAUCGUGGAUGGCAUCGACGAUUACGAGAGCAAUAAGGUGAUUCUGUACGGCGUGACCACGUUUCCAGCAUUGAAGGAAAAGCUGGCUUUCUAUGAGAAAAUGAAGUCCAAAACCAGGGAGCGAGAAAAGAGAACCGAGAGGUUAAAAGGUCAUGCGAGGUCGGCGGAGGCGUCCUCGGCAGCAUCGGGAUCGGCGAGGCGGUGCUAUAGCUGUGGUGACAUGGGACAUGAAGCGGGUGUGUGUAAAAACGGAUUGAAGUGUUUUGGGUGUAAUCAGUUCGGUCACAUUCGUAACCAGUGUCCCGUAAAUCCGAUGAGAUCUACGGCUACAGCAUCGGCAUCGGGUCAUUCAGGCGCCAAGAUGGCGGGCGCAGGCGGCAGCGGCGCUCACGGCGGCCGAGGAGGCGGGCUUCCGGUUCCGGGGAGGCCGGAAAGUUGGGACCCAAGCGACCCGCGGCUAUGUUCGGAACGGUGAACGAAGUAAGCGGAAACGAGACUGUCCGCGCGGUCAUAGACAAUGAAACGUCACUGACAUUGACAGAUGUCAACACUGUAAAUGUGACAGCUACGAGUUACGAAGAUCGAAACGUUAACAUCACGCAUGUAAACAAAUGUGUUCGGAAGCCGGUAAAAGACAUUAAAAUUAAUAAUACAGUUUUAAAUGCUCUCGUAGAUUCAGGAUGUGUAGCAGUCAAUGUUGAUCACAUUCAAGAUCCAGCAGUAAGGAGUGAGGUUAUGCAAUGUGUUGAGGAGUAUAAGCCAUUGUAUAAGGAAGAGGCCCGAUCCAACUUCAAAUUGUAUUGAAGGAUGACAUCCCAGUGCGACAGCGACAGACGACUGUCACUUAUGGAGCAACAGGUAGUGGAAGAUCAAAUCGAGGAAUGGCUUGAUAAAGGCAUCGUGAGGGUGAGUUUCUCAGAUUACUCCAGUCCUUUAGUGCUAGUAAAGAAGAAAGAUGGUUCGACUAGGGUCUGUGUGGACUAUAGGCAGGUCAACAAGAAAAUAGUUAAGGAUGAAUUUCCACUUCCCGUAAUCCAUGAUCUGAUUGACAAAUUGCAGGAAGCUAAGGUAUUCAGUGUACUUGAUUUGAAAAGUGGGUUCUUUCAUUUGAAGGUCAGCGAGGAGUCUAUUAAGUACACAUCAUUUGUCACUCACCACGGGCAGUUUGAAUUUCUCCGUGCCCGCUUGGUUUGUCCACCUGUCCCAAGACUUUUAUGAGAUUUGUGAGUAUAAUCUUUAGAAAUUUGAUUUCCCAAGGAGUGUUAAUCAUAUUUAUCGAUGACAUUAUAAUUCCAGCCUUGGAUGAAGUUCAGGCUGUAUCGAGGUUGAAGCAAGUGCUAGAAGUCGCAGCACAUUAUGGCUUGGAGAUUAAUUGGAAAAGGCGAACCUACUGCAGCGUGAAGUUGAGUACUUGGGCCACAGGGUGAAGGAUGGAGAAGUACGGCCGAGUACAGAUAAGGUGGAUGCAGUCAUAAGGUACCCUGAGCCAAGAACCCUCAAGCACUUGCACAGUUUUGUUGGAUUGACAAGCUAUUUCAGGAAGUACAUUGAAAAUUAUGCUUCUGUGGCGAAGCCAUUGACUGAUUUAUUAAAGAAGAAUACAGAGUUCAUAUUUGAGGAUAAGGAAAGAAAAGCUUUUGAGACACUGAAGAAUAAAUUAGCUAGCGGACCUGUUCUGAAGAUUUUCAAUCCGAAGUUGAAGACUGAAUUGCACACCGAUGCCUCAGGUGUAGCAUUGGCUGCAAUACUCAUGCAACACCAUCCAGGGUCAGGCUUACACCCAGUACAUUACAUGAGUAAGAAGACAACUGACAUUCAGAGCCGGUACUCAAGCUACGAAUUGGAAGCACUAGCCAUCAUAGAAGGUAUCAGGAAGUUCAGGCACUACCUUUAUGGUAUUCCAUUUAAAAUAGUCACAGACUGUAAGGCUUUUGAAUUAACACUUAAGAAGAAAGACUUGUCAGCCAAGGUAGCCAGGUGGGUCCUCAUGCUCAGUGAAUAUGAUUUGAAGUGGAGCACAGAGCGGGCUCCAGGAUGCAGCAUGCAGAUGCUUUGAGCCGCAUACCAACAGUGGCAGUGGUUACUACUCUGCAGGAGAGUUUACGCCAAGCACAAGAUCAAGAUGAUGGCAUAAAAGCCAUAAAGGAAAUUUUGAGAGGAGGAAGUCCAUACGACGAUUAUUGGUUAGAAAAUGGUGUGUUGUAUAAGACUGAGCAGAAGCUGUUUGUAGUGCCAAGAAGUUUGGAGAAAGAAAUUAUUAACAGAGUACACAGCAAAGGUCACUUUGGAAAGUCUAAGAUGAAAGAGUUACUGAAUAAGGAAUAUUACAUUAGAGAUGUGGACAAGAAGAUGCAGGAUUUUUAUUGAGUUGCAUUCCUUGCCUACUAGCAACAAGGAAGGAAGGAAAACAGGAAGGAUUCUUGAACCGAUAGAGAAAGAAGGUGUUCCAUUUGAUACCCUGCAUUUAGACCAUAUUGGUCCACUUACAGAGACAAGAAAGCAAUACAACUACAUACUCACGGUGAUAGAUGGGUUUACGAAGUUCGUAUGGCUGUUUCCCACGAAAACUACUUCAUCAUCAGAGACAUUAAGGAAAAUUCAGAUUCAUCAGCAAAUAUUU
Helicoverpa armigera (cotton bollworm) is the source of this 3392-nucleotide long non-coding RNA. RefSeq lists it as uncharacterized. The record is from RefSeq and is a predicted model, not a curated record. Lineage: Eukaryota; Metazoa; Arthropoda; Insecta; Lepidoptera; Noctuidae. The transcript is spliced from 2 exons.